Molecule: long non-coding RNA, 2706 nt
Organism: Macadamia integrifolia
Lineage: Eukaryota; Viridiplantae; Streptophyta; Magnoliopsida; Proteales; Proteaceae
Exons: 3
Source: RefSeq, a predicted model, not a curated record
AAUUAAUGUACUUUUCCUGCACCAUGAGGAAAACUUUCGUCUUAAAUAAAUGCUUCUACUAUAUUUGUUAAGGAGCAUUAGUUUGCAAAAUGUGUUUGUUAAAUGAGAUUGUUGAAUGUAACGGCUUAUAUUUCAAACUAUGGCCUUUCACUUUUCUGUAUUAUUUGAUUUUCAAAAUCCAUUUCCCUCUUUUAAGGAGUGUACAGUUAUGUUCUCUGUCACUUGCAUAAAAUAUUUGCAUAAGACAAUACUGACAUCACAUUUUUUAGUGCCUAUUAAACUUGUUAAACUUGUCUCUCUCAAAUGAUAUAAUGAUGUGCGAUUUAAGAUACUGAUUAUAGAUCAGGUUGUGGCCACAAACCAGCAAUUUGGUUUCCCCUAAUUGUUCAUGCAAUAACUGAUGCAGUGGAGCUGCCUUUGACCGUAAUGAACCCCUUUGGAGGCCUAUAUUGAGAUGAACCGGGGCCAACUAUGGUUGGUUGGUUCAGUAGAAUAUGUAAAAACUAGGAAGCUUUUUAUUUUAUUUGGAAAAAUUGUAUGUAAUCUUUUAUUUGGGUAGGAUAUGUAGGAAGAGUUUAUUUAAUUUUGGAGUUGUUUUUGGUUAGAACUCUUAGUAGAGUUGUUUCCUUGUUAAGAGUCUUUUUCUUUUUUUAUUUGUAUUCUUAUAACCCAAUGCGUUGGAAAGAUUUGAUGGAAUGAAAGUCUUUGGGUUUACCUCCUGGUUGUGGAGUUGAGACCAGGUUGGUUGAAGGCGAUCUCUUCUUCCCUUCUUACUUUCUUCCUUGCAAUCUGGUUCCUGUUCUCUUCCUUUCUUUUUCUUCUUCAUAUUUCUUUUUCCUAUUACUUUACCCUGUCCGGCAGCACCUACGACCAGUUAACAUUGGCCGUAGGUCCCUCUUCUCCCUCCCCCUUUCAACCUAGGUUUAGGUCGAAGGAAGCCCUCCCCUUUGGGCAACCCGGUCUGUAGAAUUUCAGUACCAAAUCCCAUUCUGCCAUAAGAUAUGAACCUGUAAUCAAACCUGAGUGUUGUUUUACUCCCAACUCCCAAGGGCAGUUUCAGAUCUCUGAGACCCUUGUUUUGCUUUCUGUUUUGGAAGACCACGAUGUUCUUCGUUAGACUAUUACUUGUGAUUGUGAUUCCUCCCCUUCAGUUUCAGAUUGAUCCAUGGCUAUUGGUAGAGAUUUUUCACAAAGAUUUGAGUCUGGUUUCUGUCCCUGGUUUAUAUCUCAAGGUUGAAGACGAAUUUGUCCCCCCACAAUGUAACCACUUAUAUCCCUUAUUUCCCUUUUUACUCCCCUUAUGUCAUUCUGUUUUGUCCUUUUUUCUAAGUUUGUCCCAAGAUACUAAGGUAUCCUUGGCCUUUCAAUUUUAUUAUCUCUAUGUCUUGAUUUCAUUCUUUGUUUGAAGAUGUCCUAUAUUAUUCCAUAUAAUUAGAAGAUUGCCAUUGUCCCUGUUAUAUAGGAGUUGCUUAACGCUUGGAUGGGCCCAUAGCGAACCCAAAUUGGGUUUCGUGAUCCAGGCUCCAGCCGCUCCACAUCAAUAACUGGCCGGGUCUAUGCUUUAUGGUUGAACCUGUUGAUAUCAGUUAGGCAUGAAUCCUGGCUGAUUCAUCUGAGUCAUUCGUGUAUUUAAUAAAACAAUGGGUGAUUUAUGGGCAAACGAUGCUCAAACUCAUGAAUUCCUUGAAACUAAGUUGACAAGGUAAUUGACCGCUAUUAUCAUUCUCAGAUGAAUGCUUCAUUUAUGUAUUCUUGUUAGAAAAUGUGUGUAAGGGCAAAAGGAGACUUGACAUAAACUGUUGAAACUAGGGCCUCAUUUGGCAACAAUUUUCGCUUUGCAGGAGCUUGCAAGAAAGAUCAUUUUUAAAAAUUAAAAUGCUUCUCAAUUUAUAUUUUUUUGCUCUCAUGAAGUUAAAAAAGUGGCAGAAACACUCCUCCCGAGUGUUAACAAAUGUGUCCUAGGAUGAGCAAUUGCUUCACCACUGUGCUGCACACUGUUUUAAGCUCACUAUUUUCUUGCAAAAGGUUUUCUAGAGUCUGGACUACUCUCCUACUAGACUUAGCAGGAUGGUUGCUCAAUCCAAGACAUAAGUCAGAAUUCAGGUAGUGCCUAAAAGACUGGGCUGCCUGAUUUGUGAGCUAUGUGGAGGACAGGAGGACUGAUAUGAUGAAUCUGAACAGUGGAUUGAUACCCUCUGGAUUGUGGAUUGGUGCAGUUUUCCUGCAAACAUCUGGAUGCAGUUAAUAUUAAUGAUACUGUUAAUGCAGAUAUUUUCAGCUUCUGCUAGGGAAAAAGAACUACAAGCUCAAGUGAUUUAUCUGCAGCAAAGCAUCGAAAGUCUAGUUGAAGAGUUGCAGAGACUGAAGAUGGUAAAUUCUCAGUUAGAAAGGAAUUUGAAUGGUCGGCAGAACAAGCGGGAUGAGAGGAUUGAGAGAGCAUGAAGGCAGUCAUGAGACUCUUGACACUCCCAGUCAAUUUUGGUUUCCAGAGCGGAGUACCAUUGAUCCAUCCAACUUUCAUGACAUGAACUAGUCUUCAUGAUCUGCAUUAAAACUGUCUACAUCCCAGUGGUUUGCAGCUGGAAAGGCAGUUUAAUGCCGUGAAAGAAGCAAAGUGGGGGAGGGGGUUGAGAAAAAGAGGAGCAGCUAUGACACUCCCAAGUACCAAUCCAUCUUCGUUCUUUCAUCAGAAAUAUCUUAUUUGGA